UGUCAUUGAAAGAAAAUUUAGACAAUUUAACAAAGAAAAAGCAACAGGGAAAAAAAAAAAAAAAUCAAACUAAAGCAGACAACACAAAAGAAACAAAAGAAUCGAAAAUGACCACCAAAACCAGAUAUCUGGAUACUUUCAUCAUUUCUCAGACAUCACUACAAGUGCUGGUGGAACCAAAUAUUUCACAGGCACUUUCCAACAACAGACAAAGCCACCAGAAAAAGAAUUGAGGCAGCCGCUACUGGUGGUGGUCCUCCACCUGAGGACCUCACCCCUGCGGAAGAGCUGGCGCUGAGCUGCAACCGGGGGUGUCCACUUUUAGAGGGAAUAGAGGGGGACGUCCUCAGAUGUCAUUCCCCAGGGAGCGCGGAAGCCAUAGAUUCAAGUGAGUGGUGACACGAUUUUGCUGAUGAAUCCCCCCCUCUCACGAUACUGAGGGCAUACCUGACCCAUGUGGAGAUGGCGCCAGUACAUCUAGGGCCCUUGAUGAGGACGCUGUAUCUGCAGAUAUAGAAAUGCCAGAGGAUGUGACUGGAACAAGGUGAUCUGCAAGGAAUGAAGACAUAAGAUCUAUUUACAAACGCCAUCUGCUCCUCCAAAUUGAAAACCAGGAACUUGAUGCAGAAUACAAGAAACUCAAAAUAAAAAAGCGGAAGCUGGAAAUCAAAACUGGAGAAGUAUAAAUUUAAACAACACAAAACCAAGGUUUGGACUGUAUUUAAUGCUUUCAUU
This is a long non-coding RNA of Myripristis murdjan (pinecone soldierfish), 735 nucleotides long. RefSeq lists it as uncharacterized. The record is from RefSeq and is a predicted model, not a curated record. The transcript is spliced from 7 exons. NCBI's taxonomy places the organism in Eukaryota, Metazoa, Chordata, Actinopteri, Holocentriformes, Holocentridae.